AGUUGGGCCUAGGGUGUGGGGACCAUUCCACGGGUUUCCGCGCCGCAGCUAACGCAUUAAGUGCCCCGCCUGGGGAGUACGGCCGCAAGGCUAAAACUCAAAGGAAUUGACGGGGGCCCGCACAAGCGGCGGAGCAUGCGGAUUAAUUCGAUGCAACGCGAAGAACCUUACCAAGGCUUGACAUGUUCUCGAUCGCCGUAGAGAUACGGUUUCCCCUUUGGGGCGGGUUCACAGGUGGUGCAUGGUUGUCGUCAGCUCGUGUCGUGAGAUGUUGGGUUAAGUCCCGCAACGAGCGCAACCCUCGUUCCAUGUUGCCAGCACGUCGUGGUGGGGACUCAUGGGAGACUGCCGGGGUCAACUCGGAGGAAGGUGAGGACGACGUCAAAUCAUCAUGCCCCUUAUGUCUUGGGCUUCACGCAUGCUACAAUGGCCGGUACAAUGGGUUGCGAUACUGUGAGGUGGAGCUAAUCCCAAAAAGCCGGUCUCAGUUCGGAUUGGGGUCUGCAACUCGACCCCAUGAAGUCGGAGUCGCUAGUAAUCGCAGAUCAGCAACGCUGCGGUGAAUACGUUCCCGGGCCUUGUACACACCGCCCGUCAAGUCACGAAAGUUGGUAACACCCGAAGCCGGUGGCCUAACCCUUGUGGGGGGAGCCGUCGAAGGUGGGACCAGCGAUUGGGACUAAGUCGUAACAAGGGUAACCGUAGCG
This 707-nucleotide ribosomal RNA is filed under the name Micrococcus endophyticus. RNAcentral's name for it is "bacterial SSU rRNA". It matches the Rfam family "Bacterial small subunit ribosomal RNA", at positions 807 to 1507 of the family's 1533-position model. Lineage: Bacteria; Bacillati; Actinomycetota; Actinomycetes; Micrococcales; Micrococcaceae. The record is from RNAcentral.